GGGGUCUUUAUGUUCUCCACGUUGCUCCCUGCCCAGUCACUGUGAGCUAGACCCACCUCUACUGAAGAUGUGGCUUCUAUUAGGUGGCUCUCCCUUAAUGCUACAGGCAUUGUCUCCCAGUUCUAGUACCUCCUUUCUCUUAGGCUUUGGCCUAGUGGGUAAGAGCUCUCUCCGUUGCUGGCCUUGGAGUGUUGCACUGGCCCUUGUUUCCUUUGACCCUGCCCACACCUACGAGAGAAACAAGAGAAAACAAUAUUGGCCCACCAGUUCUGUGAUACUGCUCUGUCCUUCAUGAUAGACGCUGUAAUCAAAACGGGAGCAACUACCGGUUCAUGCCCUGCUCGGAGACCUACUCAUCAGCAUGGAAAAGACAGAACAAGACCUCUGACAACAGCUCAGCUGCUGAGGCCACAGAGGGAAAAUUAGAAAGAUAAAAAAUAUAGAUUAUAACAUCAUCAAAAAAGGGGCAUUAGGCCAGGAAGGAGCCUGCUGAGUGUUAUGGGAAGGACUUCACUGGAACCUAAGACAAUGGAGAAGAGAUCUUUAGAAUAUGCGUGCCUGAGUCAGUCCCAGCAAAUGGUCAUGCUGCUCAGAUAAGCUUGUUUCUGGAAGCACAUUGCUUGAAUCAUUCACCUUCCAGAAAUCUGGUUGCAAAAGUGACCAUUCCUAUCACCAUUCCGGUCCUCACGCGUUAUUGACACCCCCACUGCGGGAAAGACACUGUGAUUGGUGUUCCCUCAGGGUAAGAACAUCUAGGGAAAGCUUAGUGCUGCCCAGAUGGACUCUGGCAUCAUUGAUCAAGUGAAAACAGUAAUGUCCCAAGCAAGACGGGAAGAGGAGGCACCAAGAACAAACAUUUAUUUUAAAGCAGUAAUCUUUAUGAAAUAUGCAUGAUACAGCUAGCUGCUGAUAUAAUGCCUGUUACAGCUAUUUCUCGGCCUAUUUGCAAACCCAUCAACCACACUAUGAAGUGGCACUGUGGACAACACAAAAAGGAAUAAUGACAAUUAAAUAAGGCCCAUUGCGUAUUAAGCAUUGCACUUGAACUCAUCCAAUUUCAACAACAGCACUAUGAGAAAAACAUUAUUAUCCCCUUUUUACCAAAGAGGAAACAGAAACUUGGAGAGAUUAUAGAUGUGUUCAAGUGCACAUGAUAAGGGACAGGGCAGAAUCUAACCAACAGUAUUAAACUAAAAUGACUGAGUGGACGCCCUGGCUAUAUAUUUGUGAAAGUAGCACUGGGCAUGACUGCAUAUUCAUAUACCAAGUGCAUAGUCAGUAAAAAAUAUGACUGAGCCAAUACAAGGUCCAAAUGGGGGGUGAGGAAAAUAAAUGUAAGACUAUUCAGAGAGAGAGCGAGUCCUUAUUUCUGGGGCAAUCACCAGGGAUGUGAGAUUUGAACUUGACUUUGAACAGUAGGGAAGUUCAGGUGGGGCAAACGGUGUGGGUCAACUCACAGG
This 1460-nucleotide long non-coding RNA is filed under the name Equus caballus (horse). RNAcentral's name for it is "lncRNA (ENSECAG00000048373.1)". Lineage: Eukaryota; Metazoa; Chordata; Mammalia; Perissodactyla; Equidae. The record is from RNAcentral.